UGGACACAACAGUACCCAGAAC
This 22-nucleotide microRNA is filed under the name Whispovirus xiabaidian. Lineage: Naldaviricetes; Nimaviridae. The record is from RNAcentral.